UCGGUCCCUAUCCGUCGUGGGCGUAGGAAAUUUGAGAGGAGCUGUCCUUAGUACGAGAGGACCGGGAUGGACGCACCGCUGGUGUACCAGUUGUUCUGCCAAGGGCAUAGCUGGGUAGCUAUGUGCGGAAGGGAUAAGUGCUGAAAGCAUCUAAGCAUGAAGCCCCCCUCAAGAUGAGAUUUCCCAUAGCGUAAGCUAGUAAGAUCCCUGAAAGAUGAUCAGGUUGAUAGGUUCGAGGUGGAAGCAUGGUGACAUGUGGAGCUGACGAAUACUAAUAGAUCGAGGACUUAACCAUAUAA
This 299-nucleotide ribosomal RNA is filed under the name Bacillus anthracis (anthrax bacterium). Its description in RNAcentral is "partial 23S ribosomal RNA". It matches the Rfam family "Bacterial large subunit ribosomal RNA", at positions 2631 to 2925 of the family's 2925-position model. RNAcentral also lists the same sequence under 1 other name. Lineage: Bacteria; Bacillati; Bacillota; Bacilli; Caryophanales; Bacillaceae. The record is from RNAcentral.